UGCGGGCGUCAGGUGGGGGCGGCCAGGAGGGUAGCCGCGGGGCUCCUCCAGCCUUCUGGGGCGGGGAGGGUCUCUCACACCCUUGCCCCCGGUGAAGGCUGGGAGCCCGCGGCACCCACCCGGGCGCCUCCCCCGCUGGGCGCACACCCCUCGAAGGAGGGAGGGCGCAGGGCAGCUACCACCCGCGCUUCCCAGCCGGGCUGCCGUCAGCCCUGUCUGUUUGCCAGCAAGCGCCCCCGGGUGUGGAAAGGGGCAUUUUUCACGGAGAUGAGCUGUUUCCUUACAGGGAAACUGAGGGUUCUGCUGCCAGCUAGGGCGAGUACUGGGACUGGAACCCAGGCUGCUUGACGGCCAGGUUCCACGGCAUCUCCCGCUGCCCACUCCAUUGCUGGGUCCGCCCUCUCUGGCUGUCCUCCUGCCCCUGUGGGAGACUGGAUCAGAGCGCGGCACCCAAGGAGCAGGCCCGGGCCUGGCACAGAGCCCCAAAGCCACUGCUUGGCCCCUCCUCCCUCCUGGAGCUGCCCUGGCACUGCCAGAGCAGGAAUCAGGUCUGACGCGGGGUGGGGGGGGUGCCAGGGGGGAGGGGACGACAUGCAGAGGUCAGCCCUUGGGGCUGUGCAGGCCGCCUUCUUGGGUCUGCCGGGUGCUCAGGCCAUCCCACUUCCUCUGGAGCAGAGGGGCAGCUGGCGGUGCUGGGCAUGUGUCCUUAGACUCCAGGGUGGUGAGCUCUGGAAACAGGGGCCCCAGGCAGCCACAUGCUGGGGCGGGUGAUUUACGGAGGUUGAAAUUGAACCCUUAGCUCCUCUCCCCUGAAGGCCGGCGCCGGGGGAGCUGGAAGCAGCCACUGGGAGCAGGCCCCCUCCCCUGUCCUGGCUGCUUGUUCAGCCUGUGGUGUCCAGCCCUUGGGGCCACGGCAAGCCCCCCUUCGGGGUAGCUUCUGCCCGACUCCAGGAGUCCUGUGCCCACAAACCCUGGGAGAGGCCGGCCCAGUAUCCAGCCUGGAUACUGGUGAGAUUUCAUUCACCAGAGGUUCAUUCAGGAAUUUUCUGUCUCAAUUCUACUGUAAUAAAAUGCGAAUUCCUCUGAAAGCAUCACGGGGCUCAGAAGGGGUCCUGCCGUUUUCAGACAUCGAAAGUGGCGCUGCGGUUCCCCCAGCAGGUUUGUGACUCUCGAUGAAUUCACGAGGGACCCCCUCCGGGAAAAGCAGGCCACCCGAUCCAGAUCAAGCAGCCACAACUGCAUUUGUCUCUCUCCCCAGCGCCCCAGGCUGGACCACGCAGCUUUUCCACCCGAUCUGGGCAUCUCCUUCCCAUAACCGUCUCCAUCAGCAGCGAAUGGGGAUUUCCCGCCCGAAAGGCCAUCCCGGAAGCAACGGGUUUCAGAAACACGAGGAUCCCAAAGACUUCGUAUGAGUCCAUCCGCAUGAAACGUUCAGAAGAGGCAAGUGUGUAGAGCUGUGGAGACCGAAAGAAGA
This is a long non-coding RNA of Mustela lutreola (European mink), 1474 nucleotides long. RefSeq lists it as uncharacterized. The record is from RefSeq and is a predicted model, not a curated record. NCBI's taxonomy places the organism in Eukaryota, Metazoa, Chordata, Mammalia, Carnivora, Mustelidae. The transcript is spliced from 3 exons.